AGUUCUAGGCUAGGGUCAUUUUUUUUCUUGCGUUAUCACAGGCAGAGCGUCCAGCUUGCCAAACUCGGCAGAAGGCUCCAGAUAGGGAAACCCGUGGACGCCAAUCUAGAGGACCAAACCGACCCGCUGCGGUCGACCAACCCAAUCUCAUCUGCGAGUCUUUUCGCCUCCAGGGUACCUCCGGGAGCCCAGGGAGCCAGGCGGGGGCGAGAGGGAGCCCCAGAAGGAGCGCAACAGGCAGGUCCCGACCCGUCGGCGAUCACGCGGCGAGUCUCUGCCUCAAACCGUCCGCCGCCUCCGAGCAGUCGCCGGAUUGCCGCCUCCCCACCCCCACCCCUCUCGCUCAGGAGAGGCUCUGCAGCUUGCGUACAGGCCCGCAAGCUCGCCCACGCAUCGGCCCACGCCGCGGCCCUCGGGUUUGCAAAGAUGUCCGCCAAGCCCAAUGCCGGUUUCGUGAACGAGGCUUCUCGUCAGAUUCUGGCCGGUGGUUCCGCUGAGCCCGAGCCCGAGCCCGAGCCGGUGGAGCGCGGGAGCAAAGGAGGCCGGGAGCGGGUGUCCCAGGUCAAGUUGCUGCGGAGCCCGCGCCAGCCGCUCUCUGGUUCCCCGCCUUCUGUGUUCCUAGCCUGGAAAGCAAGGUAGGCAGCCCUCAGGCCUGCAGCUUUGAGGAGGCCUUUUUGUCAGGCUGGUUAUUUUUUGGGAAAAGAGCCAGUUUCCGACAGACUUAUUUCUGCUGUCAAUUGUAGCCGCUUUAUCCCUUCAGCUAACUCAUAACCCCUGCCUCCUUCGUUAAAGUGUUUACCUCAGGACUCCUCCACAGGUUUUCUUAAUGCAUCCUGUGACUGCUUGGAGCUAUUUGUGCCUUAAUAAGCAUACUAAAAUUACAUGAAUAUGUCAACACAUAUAAACACCUUUGAUAUAAUAGGCUUACAUUAAUUUAUGGAGAGUUAUGCUGUGGGGAAAAGCCUUUGGGAGAAAAAUCUGUUAUAACUAAUUGUGGAAAUAAUUACUAAGUGUGGCUAGAAAAAGUUACUAACCCAUGAGAUUAUGUUAUUUGAACGUAUUUUAAAGAUUUUUAAAAAUAUAAAUUAUGAGUUGGUUGAAAAUUUCAUCUUAUAUACUGUGAUGCAUUUUUAUUAUGAAUAUAUAAAAUAAUUACUGUAAUUCACUCAAAAAUAUUUUUAUAAAUGUAAAUAUUCUCUUAAUAAAUUAUGGUAAUGCUAAUAUAAUAAAUCAGUAAGAUUACUCGAUGUCUAAUAUUUAACUCUCACAAGUAAAUUUUAUUUUCAAACAAAUUUAGACUUUUUAUAAAGGACUUUUACAAAUUAUGACUAGUUAUCAUGUCAUGAAAUCCUUGCAUCUGUUGCAUACCAUAAACAGUCAGGUGUAUUACUUGUAAUCUGUACAGUUUCCUAAAGAUGACAUCUUAUUAAUGUGGCAAUUAAGACAUUCAUUUCGUAUAUGUAAUUGUGCUAUGUCCAGCCGUUGUCAUGAUGUCAGUGACCCCAUUUUCUACUUUUUUAGUUGUUUCCCAGUAGUAAGGAUGAAUUUGCACCAAUUUAUUCACCAUUUUGGUCUAAUUCCAUAGUGUCCAAGACUCUGCUAGCUAUCCCUAACUCCCUUGAUUUAUAGUCCAUGACUCUGGUCAAAGAAAACUCAGCUGGGCCAAUAGGGAAAUGGAGCUAAUUAGUGAACAUCCUAACCUAUGACUUGUGAUUCAUAAGCAUCUGUAUAUUGGCUUAGAUGAUCAUACUGGGUAAACUCAAGGGAAGUUAAAAGUAGAUCAGACUAUGGUCCUACUUACACUGUUUUGUUAGAUGAUACAUAUUUGGCAUAAAUAUAAUGUGUUAUUCCAUCAUGUUUUUAUAGUUGUAACUAAUAUGAAUGAAAUUCAGUACAUUUAUAAGAUAAACAUAGUAUAGUUGUUAUAUAUUUAGUACUAUGAAAUUAUUGAGAAAUGAUGAGGAUAAUUUAUACCUUCAUCAUAGUGAAAAAGGGUCAUGUUUUUUCCUACUUGGCCAAUAACAUUUCCAUAAAACUUUAUAUUUAUUGGACUUUAAUAAAGACAGGCUAAUCAUGUUACAUAUACUAGAUCAGGGGUCAAAAAGAAAUUAAUAUAUGAGAGAGGUAGAACAGAUUUCUUUGAGUGAAAAAAGCAAGGCCUGAUAUCACGUAUAAUUUAGCCAUACACUUCUAGAUUAACUGAGAUGGGGCCUAGGUAUAAGAACAUUCUGGAGCUUGGAAGUCAACUAGUACCCACUGUGCUAAGAUAUCUGAUUAUAGCUCUUCUCUGCAGCCACAUUUGCCCAUUGCCAGUAUUGGAAUGAUAGGAGUUUUAGCACAAGGGAAAGUGGUAACAUUUACUUGACCUGCUAUUUCAGAUUCCCUAGCAGUUAAGUUCUGAUUGCUGAUAUUGUCAUCAAAUGCAACACCUCUAUGUAUAUGUGUUAUAUGGGCUUUUGAUGCUAAAGGUUAAAAAUACAUUCCAGCUUUCUUGAGGGUAAAACAAGAAGUUGGAGAAGGUUUACUGGAGAAAUACCUGGGUAUCUCAUGGAAUUCAAAGUCUGAGAUGCUUAUCUGGAAUUGACUGGAAUCUGGAGCUGGAGCACUGGGGCAACUCAGGAAGUGAACUCUUGCCACUUCUUACUUCUUCCCUUACCAAUGGUUAAGCAUUUUCAAGGCAGCAGGGUGGUGGCUAAUAUUAGGGUCACAAGUAAUACUUCUGUAUUCAUUAGGGUGCCUUGCCAUACUUCCAUAGAUUUGCCUGUUGAAGAGUAAACAUGCCCAAAUGGACACAGGCAGCAAAAGUAAGUCUUACAGUGUCAGUUCCCUGUGCCCCUUGUUCUACAGACAAAACUGAAGAGGCCAUAUGAUAGAUGGUAUGGGUGGUGGAUCACUCUGUUUUUGAGGAGCCCCCUUAGAUCCACAGACAAGCUGUUUUAUAGACUUAAUUUUGAGGUCUGCAGCUUUACCCUAAGUGAGAUUGAGGUGGAAAGUCUUGUGCUGAACUGAAACUGGGGAGAUGGAUGAGAAAUGGCCUUGUGACAGUCUCCCACAGAUAACAGGAGAAACAACCUCCCAGCCGCUCCUCAUCAGGCUGCUUGUCUUCUAUUAGGUUAGGGAAAUCACAGGGCAUUCUGCCAAAACUCAGGUCAGAUGGUAGUCAAGCCUUGUGUACAUGGUCUUUGGGAGAUGAGCGAGGUUGUCAAGCUGGAGAUAUUUCCCUGUUCCUGAUAUCUUCAUCAGUCUUCUUUCUUACAGUGAACUGGUGUUUUGUGCUCUUCUGUCUACAUGGAAGAAUGUGGUCCCCAGUAGCUCCUGAGCUUAUGUGCUCUUGACGUAUUCUAUGGAGAAAGCAAGAGAGUGACUCGUUUAUUUGUUUUUCAUUCCCAGUGUAAAAUGCUGAAGAAGGUCUCAAAAUAAUCCAGUAUUGGUCAGGGGCCCACUUCUGAACCACUCAACUGUAGUCAAUGGGGAGGAUUGGGGAUCUCAGGGGACAUUAUUUUCCAAAGAAGCUAAACAUAUCAUGAGAUGGGCAGUAGAUGUCUUUUAUAACAAUAUAUGUAUGUCGUUUUUUAAGGGACUGUUUGUAAUAUUUAUAUUUAAAAGACUAAAUGAUGCACUGAUAGUUGCUUGAACAAUACACAUCUAAAGACUGGCCUUGAGCUUGUAGCUAUAGCUAUUAUAUAUAGAUAGUUACUAGCGGCAACUUUGGUUUAUAUGAUGAAAGCCAUGCUCAAGACAAGUCAAUAUGUACUAGAGUUUAACAGAGAAGCCUUCUAGUCUGUGUUCUCAGCUUUAAAUAAUAGCAUAAAAUUCAGGUGAGCUAAUAGAAGCCAGUAGAGAGAGCAUCAGGAACAUCAGCAAGGCCUGACUGCACAGGGGUAAGGAAGAGACCAGAAAGAGGCCAGUGGAUUAGUACUCAAAAUAUGGUCCAGGAAUGAGCAGCAUGGACAUGGUAGCAUCUGGAAGCUUGUUAAAAAUAUAGAAUCUCAGGACAAGCCUACCCUAUACCUACCAUAUCAGAAUCUGCAUUUUAGAAAGGUCCCCAAGUCACUGGUUUGCACUUUCAAGUUUUAGAAGCACUGUGUUAGAAGACCUUUGAGAAAAGAAUUAUCCAUGGAAUGGGAGCCAGAUUGUAGAAGGUUGCAAGUUAAAUCUUUCUUAGUUUUCAUUGCUGACCAGAGAGAGGAAAGUGAAUUCUCUACUUCUUAAUUAUGUGCCCUCAAUUUAACUUUCAAGCUUCUUUUCCUAUCCUCUGCCACACAUCCCAUUUGGUAUCUGCUCAAUAGAUCUGUUCACUGUACUUGAAUGUUGCUUAUACCUCUCCAUUUUAAUUUUCAUUGCCUGGGAUGUCUUCCCCUUAUUUUCUCUACCUGUUGAAAUCCUGCCCACUUUCCAAGGGCUGACUUGAAAACUAUUUUCUGUGUAAAUGUCUCCCAGGUGGCUGCUACAGCCCCAUCCAGGUUUAACAUUCUCAUUAACAUUGAAUGAUGCAGAUAAUAAAAAUAGCUAACAUUUAUGGAGUAAAUACUAAAUGUCAUACCUAGUCAAAAUUUUACAUAUGUCUAUGUUUCGAAUCCUCACUACAACUCCAGGAUGAAGAAGCUGAUGCACAGAGGGCCUAAUUAACUUGCCUGUAGUUGCACAAGCAUGUAGAUCAUUUCUGUAGGAACAGGAUAAGAGAGAGGCUAGGAAAUAUUAUUCUCACUGGUAGAUAUUUUUAGAAAUUGGAGAAAUCAAGUCUACUAUGAUCUGUUAUUAUUCUCUCUCUUUUAUUAGUGUGCAUCCCUUAAAACAACUCUUAUCUACUCAUACAAUCCUUUCAGUCUUUCUUCUGAAUGGUAUCUUGCUCUUUCCAAAUAAUUUCAUCUAUAUGGGCAUAAGAUUAGCUUUUAGUGAAAAGAAAAUUCUAAUCCGUCCCACCCAUCAUGUGCAGUUGGGCGAUUGUGGACUGAAAGGGGCUCUGACUUCUGGAGCAGGUGGGAGCUGAGAUGUAGCCUAUGCUUUAAUUCAUAACCUGUGUAUCCUAGAGCAGAGGUAAGUCUGCCUGGGGGAGAAAGGAAAUCUUUUUCUACUUUUUGUGAAGACACUAAAUGGCAGCACACCUGAUAUCCGUGAUGACAGAAUUUCCCCAAACUUGCUGGAGCUCUCAAGGUCCCUGGGCCUCAAUAUCUCCCAGGUCCCACAUCACUGCGUUGCCUGCUCCCCAGUAGGGCUCCAUGAGGUUUCCCUUUUACCCAUAUCUCUUCCUUGGAGCCAGGAGCAUGACUCCACCCCAAACCCUCCCAUUCUCCGUAAUGACCAAUUUGGGCUCUUCCUUGUCUUUCUGAAACUCAUGGGGUUCUUAUUUCCCAUUUCAUGUAGGAGCCUUUUAGGCCUGCUCAGAUGGAUAUCCUCCCCAAAUUCUCACAGAGCUCUGACACCCAACUUCAGAAUCUUCCAGCAUCUCUGACAAAGCCCCCUUGGCCUCCUGAGAGACCCUGUUCUUGGCCAGGCCUGUCCGGCUCCCUUCUGAGAGCUUGGCUAGGCCCUGUCCAAACUGAAUUUCCUCCAUAGUAGAAUCUCUAGGACUUUCCUCCUCCUGCCUCCCAGAAUAUUACACUCGUAUUCCUUGGUGUCUGCAAGUCCCACUCCGAAGUCUGUUGAGGGUAUUUCUCAUCUGUCUAUCAUUUUACAUAUCACCAUGCUGGCAGAACAUUGAUUUACUUCCCAGAAUUUCCUGGCUGUUGUUUCUUCCUCUUCAGCCCCAUGCUGUUUUGUGUCUUGUAGGCAAAAACUCUAACACAUCUUCAAUCACUGUUUUUAUUUUGUGCAUCUCGAUGGAAGUGUUUUAGUCAAGUUGUUUAGUCAAAGUAUCCUGGAAAUAAGUUUUUCAGUUUUGCGCUAGACACAGUUCAAGUGCCUUGUACAGUUAAUCACCUUCAAGGAACCAGAUGAGAGAGUGAAAUGAAAGACUUUUUCUGGAGGCGGGAGACCUGGGAUUCAUGGAUAGGCUUCUGGGAGAUGAACUGCUGAGAGUAUAUGUAAAAUGUACGUUAUGUUGAUGGGAGAGAGUCCAAGGCUUUUAACCUAAAAAAGGGCACUAAAAAGGUAUAGGAUAAUUUCAAAUUUUAUUUUUUAAACUCCUGAUCUUAUAUAUGUUAUGUAUCUUCAUUUUCACAAGAUUUCUUCCUUUUCUUACUCUAAAACAAAAUACAGUUAAAAGAAAAGCCUUAAUAGACAGUAUGUAUACUAGUAGUACUCUAGAUUUUAAUUUGGACUUGGUAAUAAAAGGGCUGAUACACCAGGGGGUAAUCAAGGUUAAAAUUUUGAUCAAGGAAAAUUCUUUUUCAGAAUGGGUGCAAAGGGGACACACGUGUGAUUUCGAUAAAUGGUACCUUUGGAAAUACAGAAUUUGGCAAACUGCAUUUGUUUGUUAAUAAAUUGCAGGUUGUAAUGAAACAGGUGAGCCAUUAUGACACAUCAAAGAGAGGCUGGAACCCAUUAUCUGG
RNAcentral lists this long non-coding RNA (6491 nucleotides) under Sus scrofa (pig). RNAcentral's name for it is "lncRNA (ENSSSCG00015066590.1)". The record is from RNAcentral. Lineage: Eukaryota; Metazoa; Chordata; Mammalia; Artiodactyla; Suidae.